AAGUCGUAACAAGGUUUCCGUAGGUGAACCUGCGGAAGGAUCAUUGCCGAUACUAUUUGAAGGGAGGGUCGACCUCCCUGAACCGACACCUUUCGUGCACUUGGGACUCUCUCGAGUCCCUCCCGUUAUGAAACGCCCGUUUUCUCGCGCGUAUUUGAAAACCCCCCCGGAAAGGGGAAAAAUUGAAACACAACUUUCAACAACGGAUCUCUUGGCUUUC
This 220-nucleotide unclassified non-coding RNA is filed under the name Phallus hadriani. Its description in RNAcentral is "partial internal transcribed spacer region". The stretch from base 1 to 46 matches the Rfam family "Eukaryotic small subunit ribosomal RNA", at positions 1786 to 1831 of the family's 1831-position model. RNAcentral also lists the same sequence under 1 other name. Lineage: Eukaryota; Fungi; Basidiomycota; Agaricomycetes; Phallales; Phallaceae. The record is from RNAcentral.